GAAGGUGGCCUGUGAGGGUUGCUGGAGGUAUCAGAAGUGCGAAUGCUGACAUAAGUAACGAUAAAGCGGGUGAAAAGCCCGCUCGCCGGAAGACCAAGGGUUCCUGUCCAACGUUAAUCGGGGCAGGGUGAGUCGACCCCUAAGGCGAGGCCGAAAGGCGUAGUCGAUGGGAAACGGGUUAAUAUUCCCGUACUUGGUGUUACUGCGAAGGGGGGACGGAGAAGGCUAUGUUGGCCGGGCGACGGUUGUCCCGGUUUAAGCGUGUAGGUGUGUGUUCCAGGUAAAUCCGGUUCACUUUAACACUGAGGCGUGACGACGAGGCACUACGGUGCUGAAGCAACAAAUGCCCUGCUUCCAGGAAAAGCCUCUAAGCAUCAGGUAACAUCAAAUCGUACCCCAAACCGACACAGGUGGUCAGGUAGAGAAUACCAAGGCGCUUGAGAGAACUCGGGUGAAGGAACUAGGCAAAAUGGUGCCGUAACUUCGGGAGAAGGCACGCUGACACGUAGGUGAAGUGAUUUACUCAUGGAGCUGAAGUCAGUCGAAGAUACCAGCUGGCUGCAACUGUUUAUUAAAAACACAGCACUGUGCAAACACGAAAGUGGACGUAUACGGUGUGACGCCUGCCCGGUGCCGGAAGGUUAAUUGAUGGGGUCAGCGCAAGCGAAGCUCCUGAUCGAAGCCCCGGUAAACGGCGGCCGUAACUAUAACGGUCCUAAGGUAGCGAAAUUCCUUGUCGGGUAAGUUCCGACCUGCACGAAUGGCGUAAUGAUGGCCAGGCUGUCUCCACCCGAGACUCAGUGAAAUUGAACUCGCUGUGAAGAUGCAGUGUACCCGCGGCAAGACGGAAAGACCCCGUGAACCUUUACUAUAGCUUGACACUGAACAUUGAGCCUUGAUGUGUAGGAUAGGUGGGAGGCUUUGAAGUGUGGACGCCAGUCUGCAUGGAGCCGACCUUGAAAUACCACCCUUUAAUGUUUGAUGUUCUAACGUGGACCCGU
Molecule: ribosomal RNA, 1001 nt
Filed under: Salmonella enterica
Lineage: Bacteria; Pseudomonadati; Pseudomonadota; Gammaproteobacteria; Enterobacterales; Enterobacteriaceae
Also listed under: 5 other names
Description: partial 23S ribosomal RNA
Rfam family: Bacterial large subunit ribosomal RNA
Source: RNAcentral